AUUGAACGCUGGCGGCAUGCCUUACACAUGCAAGUCGAACGGCAGCACGGGAGCUUGCUCCUGGUGGCGAGUGGCGAACGGGUGAGUAAUACAUCGGAACGUACCCAGUAGUGGGGGAUAACGCACCGAAAGGUGCGCUAAUACCGCAUACGACCUACGGGUGAAAGCGGGGGACCGUAAGGCCUCGCGCUAUUGGAGCGGCCGAUGUCUGAUUAGCUAGUUGGCGGGGUAAAAGCCCACCAAGGCGACGAUCAGUAGCUGGUCUGAGAGGACGAUCAGCCACACUGGGACUGAGACACGGCCCAGACUCCUACGGGAGGCAGCAGUGGGGAAUUUUGGACAAUGGGGGCAACCCUGAUCCAGCAAUGCCGCGUGUGCGAAGAAGGCCUUCGGGUUGUAAAGCACUUUUGUCAGGGAAGAAAUCUUUCAGGCUAAUACCCUUGGAAGGAUGACGGUACCUGAAGAAUAAGCACCGGCUAACUACGUGCCAGCAGCCGCAGUAA
This 503-nucleotide ribosomal RNA is filed under the name uncultured bacterium. RNAcentral's name for it is "partial 16S ribosomal RNA". It matches the Rfam family "Bacterial small subunit ribosomal RNA", at positions 30 to 523 of the family's 1533-position model. The record is from RNAcentral.